AGCAGAGUAGUAUAAAGAGUACAGCGGGCUCAUACCCUGCGGGUGGGAGUUUGUGCCCCCUUUGCUU
This 67-nucleotide transfer RNA is filed under the name Azumapecten farreri. RNAcentral describes it as "tRNA-Met". It matches the Rfam family "tRNA". From Rfam's summary of the family: Transfer RNA (tRNA) molecules are approximately 80 nucleotides in length. Lineage: Eukaryota; Metazoa; Mollusca; Bivalvia; Pectinida; Pectinidae. The record is from RNAcentral.